UACAGAGGGUGCAAGCGUUAAUCGGAUUUACUGGGCGUAAAGGGCGCGUAGGUGGUUAUAUAAGUUGUUUGUGAAAUCCCCGGGCUUAACCUGGGAACUGCAAGCAAAACUGAAUAGCUUGAGUACUGUAGAGGGUAGUGGAAUUUCCGGUGUAGCGGUGAAAUGCGUAGAGAUCGGAAGGAACACCAGUGGCGAAGGCGGCUACCUGGACAGAUACUGACACUGAGGCGCGAGAGCGUGGGGAGCAAACAGG
This 253-nucleotide ribosomal RNA is filed under the name uncultured bacterium. Its description in RNAcentral is "partial 16S ribosomal RNA". It matches the Rfam family "Bacterial small subunit ribosomal RNA", at positions 524 to 776 of the family's 1533-position model. The record is from RNAcentral.